RNAcentral lists this long non-coding RNA (311 nucleotides) under Fukomys damarensis (Damara mole-rat). Its description in RNAcentral is "lncRNA (ENSFDAG00000025197.1)". Lineage: Eukaryota; Metazoa; Chordata; Mammalia; Rodentia; Bathyergidae. The record is from RNAcentral.
AGUUUCACAGCAGAAUCUUUUCCCUUGCCCUUUCUAGCUCUCAAGUCAGCCCACAUUCUUGGCUCGUGGCUCCUUGUCCUCAAAGGUAUCACACCACCCUCCUCCCUUCUCAGGAUCUUUGAUGUAAUCAUAUCAGCAAAGUCUCUUUUGCCAUCAUACCAGGGAUCUUCAGGAGGGUCAUUAUUCUGCUUACUACAGAAAUACUAUGGUUAGAUGACAGACAUAUUGAUCCAAGAGUUUGGGAGGGAAACUAUAUGGAACAUUUUUUGCUGGUGUCAGCUUUUCACCUGGACUUUGGGAUCCCUAAGGAG